GCAGAGCCUUCUCGCUCGCUCCGGCUUCAAUCCUCCCCCCUCUCGUAGCUGCCAAUCACGUCCCAAGACCAACCCUUCGGAGCGCCUUGGCAAACUUUCAGCGGCCCCUCACCCCCCUCCCUCACCACCUUGGAGUUCUCGCUCCAAGAGCGUAGUCAGGAGUGACUAAGUGCGCGCGUUUCACAAAGUAACGAGCGUCGCAACUUUCUACACUUUCCGUUGCACCUCAAGGAGAAUAUGCUCCACCGCUUCCCCAGCCUUCUUUGGACUGUUCCUAGGUGCUUUAGAAUUACGUUUUCAAACCGCAAGUCGAGAUCCAGGAGUGGACCCUGAAAUCCAACAUGAAGCUGAAGAAGCCAGAGACUUAUGAACACCAAUAGAAGAGGCAGGGAGGAGAACAGGAGACAAGAGCACAUGGUGGAGCAAGGCCAGGCCCAGAAGGAACUAUAUUCCUCUCCUACCCAUUCACCAGAGAACCAUCAAGCACGAUCUCCUGCGGACCUUAGCUUCCCUUCUGGCUGCAGUUACAGACCAGGCUGUUUUAUCGCUCCCUGGGUUUCCCUUAUCUCUACCACUAUAAAUAAACA
Fukomys damarensis (Damara mole-rat) is the source of this 587-nucleotide long non-coding RNA. RefSeq lists it as uncharacterized. The record is from RefSeq and is a predicted model, not a curated record. The transcript has 3 exons. Lineage: Eukaryota; Metazoa; Chordata; Mammalia; Rodentia; Bathyergidae.